CAAAUUUCUCCACAGAAGCAGAGUCAAAAAGGAAGAGAGAGCAAAACAUAGAAGAUAUUUUUUAAAAUGAGAAUCUGGGUAAAAAGGCCAGCUAACCACAUUCCUGAUGGCAGCUGCUGAACAGCAAAGACCAGCAUUUGGAGACUACAAUAUAACGGGACACCACCAGGGAAUGCUGCAGGCCCUUCAUCCCUAGUUUAGGGAGAGUGGCAUUUAUCCUUCAACAUACACCUUUUUGGCGAUAAAUGUGAGAUGCAUUAAAGAACCUCAGCAACAAGAAUAAGUUGUCUCCCUGCUGUUUUUUAAACUUAGAAAUGAAGGCUUCAUCAAUUUAAUGGGGGCUAUGGAGAUUUUGUAGAGACUGUGUUCUUUUACAGACUAUCAUUUAUCUGGGGCCAAUGUGUAUCAAAAGGUCUCUGAUGAUAUUUAUUGUAUUGCUGCAUUGACUAGAUGGUUUGUUCUAUUGAAUGGGUUUCUCACAGUUAUUGGGGUACGGAUGUCUCUGACUGGGCCAGCAUUCAUUGUGCAUCCCUAAACGCUACAAAAAAUAGUGCUGAGCUGCCUUCUUAAACAGUGA
This is a long non-coding RNA of Stegostoma tigrinum, 577 nucleotides long. RefSeq lists it as uncharacterized. The record is from RefSeq and is a predicted model, not a curated record. Lineage: Eukaryota; Metazoa; Chordata; Chondrichthyes; Orectolobiformes; Stegostomatidae. The transcript has 3 exons.